Molecule: small nucleolar RNA, 108 nt
Organism: Lupinus angustifolius (narrow-leaved blue lupine)
Lineage: Eukaryota; Viridiplantae; Streptophyta; Magnoliopsida; Fabales; Fabaceae
Rfam family: Small nucleolar RNA Z107/R87
About the family: Z107 and R87 are members of the C/D class of snoRNA which contain the C (UGAUGA) and D (CUGA) box motifs.
Source: Rfam
GGUGACGGUGAUGACCACAUAAAAUUCAAGCUCAACAGACCGGAAUGCACGGUUUUCUCUUUUCAGAGAUUUCUUUGCGUGUCGACAACCCCGCUGAACUGAGUCAUC